CGUCACAAUAUAAAUAAUUAACUAAAUCUUGGGUGGAUUAAUAUUUUUUACCCUUUAUUAUAGGUGGUUGAUGACCAAUUUAUUUUUAGAUAUAAACAAUGAUUUAUUUGUAUUAUAGUUGCAAAACAUUAGCAGGCAGCUUAUCAAAUAUGAAUAGUUCACAAAAUGUUCAAACAUUCACUAAAUUUACUUACCAUAUUUGAUGCUCCAAUAUUAUUGAUAUAUUAUUUCUCUAUAUAUAAAGCAAGGUCCCAAGGAUAUUUGCUCUUCCCCAUCCUACACCUAUAUAUAAUUUCAUUUUAUAUUCCUUUUCUCUUGUAUUUAUAUUUGAGAUGGAUUUUGUUUUGGUAUCUAUUUUUCUCAUAUUUAAAUCAAUAAUUUGGCAUCCAAAUCGGACAUAUACUACUGUUUAUGAAUUAUUGUACUAAAAAUAUCUAAAAGGCAAAACUCUUAUAUUUUGGCCGUCCCUAUCCUAUGCAUUAGAUAGACCCAAAAAUGCUAAAACUUAGGAAGAGUGUGAGGACUCAUGCAGGCAUAUGGAGAUGUAUGAAGAUCCGUAAUGUUUGUGAUUAGACAUAGACUAUGGAGCAUAUGAUGACUAAUGGUAAUUGUGAUGGGACGUUAGCUAGCAAAGACUCUAGGAUUCAAAUGGAAGAAAUGUGAGGACUCAUACUAGAAAAUAUUCAAGAGUAUGUAAGGAUUUGUAUAGCUUAUGCAUUAAGGAGAUAUUGAGUGCCUAUACAACACGAGAAAUCCAUAUAACACCAUAAGCUAACUUUUUAGAUGAGUUCUUGGAUUUUAAUAAUAUCCAUCUUUUGAGUUGAAAAAAUUGCAACUAAGACUUAAGAGGGAACUAAUUCUAGGAAUAUUCUCAUGUAGUGUAUUUGUUGCAUUUGAGAAUAGUUAUCGUUGGCCCAGCCCAUGUAAAUCCUCUAUGUGAUGAUAUUGCAUUCUUGUGGCUUGCUAAGUCUUCGUCAUUGUAUCAGAAGAUCAGUGUAAGAGACCGGUCCAUUGGUUGACAAACUCAAGAUUUUUUUUAUUUUGCAUGAAUUUUAAGGCAUUUGAAAAAAAUUCAUGCACUAUGCACAUGAGAGAGGGAAGGAAGACUCCCAUUGGGAGUCUUCUUCUUCUCUAAUUCCAACUAGGAAAAGGAGAAUCCAGGCCAUGCUAAAGCCCUAGGAUCUUUGAUCUAUAAAGGGUCUUCUCUUCCAUCUAACUCUCUCACCCCAAAUCCCAUCCACCAUCGGCAAGAAAUUUUCAAGUUGUUUGUGAAUUUCUCUAAAGGAAUCAUUAGGAUUUCUCCAACGAACUGGGCAUAAAACCUCACUAGCAGCGAAGGUAAGGUUUAUAGACUUUUUCCCCUUCCUUGUGCUAAGUUUAGACCACCGUCACCACUCGAAUUCACUUUGGCAAGCCAUCGACUUUCACACAAACAUGAUUUCCCCUGUUUCAUGCUUCCUCUCCCUUGUUUUUGCUUCACCGACGACUACCAGCCAUGGCCCUAGUCAAGGUCGUCAUGGUCACCACCACCAAACAUCAUCGUGGAUGACUAGUCGCCGGCCCUUUAUUGUUGUGAUAGAGAGGAAGGGAGUAAAAAAAGGAAAAGUGAGAAAAAAAAAAAGAAGAGAAUGAAGAGAGAUCAUUAUUCUCUCUCUCUGUUCUUUAUUCUCUCUCAUCUCUCUCUACCUUUCUCUCUCUCUCCUCUUCUUUCUUUCUAAUUGGAUGAAAAGAUCCAUAGAAGAGGAUUCAGGGCGGGAUUUGAUAUUAGACUCCUAGUGAACCCAAUAGAAGAUUUUAGAUAAACAAUUUUCACCUUAUGGUUUUCUUUAAUAUUGAGAUUGGAUUUGUAGAAGGAUGAUCCUCGAGAUAGGAGUGUCAAAUGGAUUCCUUACCACCUCAAUUCAUAAAUCAAUGUGUGAAUUGAUACUUAAUGUGUUAAGUUCGACAUCAAUAAAGGUAAAGAUUUUUGGAUAUAAUCAUCUAUAUGAUUAUAAAAAAUUUUAUUUAUAACUAUAUCUGCAUGAUGCAUGUUUUAUAUAUAUACCAGCUCAUGUAUCAUAUGUUGAUGAAUUGAUGUUGCAGGAUUCAUGAUUAAUAGGUGUUUAACUAUAGAUAUCAUAUUACAUAAUAAAAAUCAUGAAUUAACAUAAUUGAUGGGGUGCGGGCAGCUUCUAGAUUAGCCAAUCAUGCAAAGAAUAUGGUGUAUAUGCUGGGUGAGCUUCAAGCUAUGGUGCAAUAUUAUUUUUAGCCUACCACGAGCUGGAGAAUGACUAUAAUUAAUCUAAUAUCAAAAAUCAAAUUAUGAUUUUAGUAAUAUGGAUGGGGCAUGGCCGGUGUUUGGAUUGGUUGGCUAUGCAAGAAACAUAAGGUAUGUGCUGGAUUAGCCUCGGACUGGAGUGUAGCAUUGUAUUUGGCCUAUCAUAGGCUAGAGCAUAGUUAUAAUUAGUCAAAUACUAGAAAGAUAAAUAUUAAUUUACAUAAUUGUAAGUAUGGGAAAAAGAAAGCAAGUGAACUGGUUGGUCAAGUAUGAAAUAUGGUGUAUCAACCGCAGGCUGAGAUAUUUGACCUACCACGGACUAGAGCAUGAUUGUAACUAGUCUAAUGCUAACGUCAAAUCAUAAUGAUGAAUCAUAUCUAAUUGAAUGGUAUCUAGACUAGCCGAUAUAUAUGAAACAUGAUAUUUGUAAUGUCAGCCGCGAGCUAAGAUGUGGUUGCUAGCCAUGAGUGAAAAUGUGAUGUCUAUUUGGCCUGCCAUGGACUGAAAUAUAAGCAUGUCUAGUCUAAUACUAGAGUGAUAAUGUGGUCAUUAUUCAAACUAUAUUAAUCAAAUAAUGAAAAAUAAUUUCACUGAAAUAUUGUUGAAUCAAAUGUUUGCUUAGAUGAUAUAUAAGUGACAUAUAUCUUGAGAUUUCUGUAUGGUGAUAUGUAUGCAACUUAGUAGCUAUAAGAUUAGACUUGAUAUGCAUGCUGGCAUGGCUUAUGUAUAUGUAUUUUAUAGCAUACAUAUUGUUAUAUAGAGCAUUAUUCAAAUUAUUGAUAUAUGAAUUUUACUAUUUUCUUAUCGACUAAUAUUAUCGCAAAGGUAUUUCAUAUUCAUUCUGGUAUGAGUGUGGGGAUUCUUACUGGACUAUAAAUCUCAUAUCUUCUUUUUUCUUUAGAGUUGUAGGAUGCACCGAUCAUAUUGGGCAUGGAGUUUCAAAUGAUGGAAUUAUUAAUUAGUUAGUUAGUUGAUUUUCUAAUAUCAAAUAAAUGUUUCGAUCUUGUGAACCUUAUUCAAUAAAGAUGGAUUGAUUUGAUUUGAUAAAUAUGAUUGAAUUUUUAAAAUUCUUUCGGUAUUCUUAUGAAUUUAUUUUUUAUUUAGGCCUUGCAUGAUCUCUAUGCUAUCGGAUUCAUGUGGCCGUAUCACAUGGUCGACCUAGAUGGUGGGUUCAGUGUGUGAUAAUUAGUGUUUUGCUUUCGACAAUCAUAAAAUUGUGAACAAUGAAAGGAAAAGUUUUAAGUUAGAGAUGCCUAACAUGCUUAAGUGAUCCAAGCCAAUCUGCACCAUUGGGCUGGCCCAUAUUUCCUAGGUAAUCAACCACAAUCUAAAGCAAGCAAAAAGAUAUAAUGGAAUGAGUGUUGAUCCCAAAGAAUGAUUUUGAUGAUCAUAAAAUAUUAGAGCAUGAAAUUCGAACUAAUAUCUCAAAGUGUUCUAAGAAUGUUUUUAUAGGAAAAUAACACCUAAAGAAGUCCUUAGAUUCAAUUAGGAGAAGUUUGAACAAAGAAAAUUCUGUUUGAAGUUGAAUUUCAAAAAAAAAACUAAGUUCAGAUAAAAAUGAGUUGACUCAUUGAAUUAAGGAGUCGACUCUAGCAUGCCUUAGCACCAGUACAUUAUUUUGGCAUGCAAGCAAGUCGACUUAUUUAUAAAUUAAGUUGACUCUUUCAAAAGGAUAUAAUGCAGUUUUCUGAAACAGACAGCUAGGUCGACUCAUGGAACAUGUGAGUCGACCCAUGGAAAAAAAUUGAGCCAACUCAAAAUAGGAGAGCUGGCUCUCUCGUAGGGUGAAACAUAAGAUAAAUUUUGUAGAGUUGCAGGUGAGUUGACUCAAUGACUGAGAGUCGACUCAUUUACCAAUCCAAGUCAACUCAUGAGCCUUUGAGUCGACUUCUAUAGAUCUGACAAUUCAAAUGACUAGUUCUACAGCAGGGUCUGUUUUAUCCAAUUUUUUUUCAAUGACUAGAUUUCGCCUCCAACAAUCACAAAUGACUAGAAAUGGCUUCAAAGUACAUCAAACUUAAAGGGAAUCAAUAUUAGAUAUAAGAGAAACAAAGGAAUCAAAUGAAGA
This 4325-nucleotide long non-coding RNA is filed under the name Elaeis guineensis (African oil palm). Its description in RNAcentral is "long non-coding RNA (EGUI_LNC017206)". Lineage: Eukaryota; Viridiplantae; Streptophyta; Magnoliopsida; Arecales; Arecaceae. The record is from RNAcentral.